Molecule: ribosomal RNA, 443 nt
Filed under: uncultured bacterium
Lineage: Bacteria
Description: partial 16S ribosomal RNA
Rfam family: Bacterial small subunit ribosomal RNA
Source: RNAcentral
CCUACGGGAGGCAGCAGUGGGGAAUAUUGGGCAAUGGGCGCAAGCCUGACCCAGCAACGCCGCGUGAAGGAAGAAGGCCCUCGGGUUGUAAACUUCUUUUAUCAGGGACGAAGGAUGUGACGGUACCUGAGGAAUAAGCUCCGGCUAACUACGUGCCAGCAGCCGCGGUAAUACGUAGGUGGCAAGCGUUAUCCGGAUUUAUUGGGUGUAAAGGGCGCGUAGGCGGGAUGGCAAGUCAGAUGUGAAAUCCAAGGGCUCAACCCCUGAACUGCAUUUGAAACUGUCGUUCUUGAGUGCUGGAGAGGUAGACGGAAUUCCGAGUGUAGCGGUGAAAUGCGUAGAUAUUAGGAGGAACACCAGUGGCGAAGGCGGUCAACUGGACAGCAACUGACGCUGAGGCGCGAAAGCGUGGGGAGCAAACAGGAUUAGAUACCCGGGUAGUC